AGAGCGAACGCUGGCGGCAGGCCUAAUACAUGCAAGUCGAACGCACCUUCGGGUGAGUGGCGGACGGGUGAGUAACACGUGGGAACGUGCCUUUUGGUUCGGAAUAAUCCGGGGAAACCUGGCCUAAUACCGGAUGUGCCCUUCGGGGGAAAGAUUUAUCGCCAUUAGAGCGGCCCGCGUCUGAUUAGCUAGUUGGUGAGGUAACGGCCCACCAAGGCGACGAUCAGUAGCUGGUCUGAGAGGAUGAUCAGCCACACUGGGACUGAGACACGGCCCAGACUCCUACGGGAGGCAGCAGUAGGGAAUCUUGCGCAAUGGGCGAAAGCCUGACGCAGCCAUACCGCGUGAAUGAUGAAGGUCUUAGGAUUGUAAAAUUCUUUCAGCGGGGAAGAUAAUGACUGUACCCGCAGAAGAAGCUCCGGCUAACUUCGUGCCAGCAGCCGC
RNAcentral lists this ribosomal RNA (444 nucleotides) under uncultured bacterium. Its description in RNAcentral is "SSU rRNA". It matches the Rfam family "Bacterial small subunit ribosomal RNA", at positions 26 to 518 of the family's 1533-position model. The record is from RNAcentral.